UCAAUUCAUGAAACCCCUCGCACUGUACGUACUAAAAUGAUUUUCGUCUGAUCUCCUCAUCAGUCAUUCUCGUUCCCUCUCUUUAGUAUGUUCUCUCCCUCCCAACUCCCUCGAUCCCUCAAAUGAAAACUCCGCCAUCCCUCCCUCCCUCCUUAUCAAGUAUCUCUCGCCGCAGUUCAAUUGGUUGCAUCACAAAGCAUUAGCCAUUCGACCAAUUUCUAAUUGAUGUUUCUUCAAUCAACCUGUCAAACUUCAAUCACCACCAAUCGAGGAAGACGAACAGAGAUUCCUCCGCAAGUUAUCGCGCCGUCGUCUGCUAAGGGUCGAAAAUGUCAAGGCUUUGCUUGAAGUGGAGGUUAAGAAUCUCCAAUCUUAUUUUUAUUUUCAUUAACGCAAUAAAGUAGCUAUCUUAUUUUUAUUUUCAUUAACACAAUAGCAAUAACAACAGCUAAUUCUGUAAUAUGGCCUGGGUCCGUAUGAGUAUAAUUAGUAACAGUGAGUUUGGAUUUGUGGAGGCAGAGUGGGGUGUCGCUGCAGCAACAAUAGUUGUUGUACAACCUGGGGGGUUGAUCACAAUGUGCAGUCUUUUCUGGAACCUAGAAUUCCAGAUUUUCUUGCUUUUCUCUUCAACUUUAGGUUCCCAGUCAUACUAUUGCAAAAUGUUUUGGAUCAUUACAUAUGUUGUUUUAGAUCUUCUACUCUAUAUCAUUUUCUGACCAGAAUUAUGGAAUGUAUGGUGAUGUGACAGACCGAAAGUGUAAUAUUUUUUUCGAGUCUUUUUCACUAAUGCAAGUCUAAGGUGAACUGUUAUGGUUGGUUCAAGACUUCGCUGCUGUAGUUUGUAUUUGGUACUUCCUAAUUGGUUGAUAGAAUGAUAGUAUAUACCACUAGACGGAUUGGAUCUUUUA
Beta vulgaris subsp. vulgaris (sugar beet) is the source of this 908-nucleotide long non-coding RNA. RefSeq lists it as uncharacterized. The transcript has 2 exons. Lineage: Eukaryota; Viridiplantae; Streptophyta; Magnoliopsida; Caryophyllales; Amaranthaceae. The record is from RefSeq and is a predicted model, not a curated record.